RNAcentral lists this ribosomal RNA (133 nucleotides) under Candidatus Dorea stercoravium. RNAcentral's name for it is "partial 23S ribosomal RNA". It matches the Rfam family "Bacterial large subunit ribosomal RNA", at positions 2791 to 2925 of the family's 2925-position model. Lineage: Bacteria; Bacillati; Bacillota; Clostridia; Lachnospirales; Lachnospiraceae. The record is from RNAcentral.
AGCCCCCCUCAAGAUGAGAUAUCCCUACGUAAAGUAGUAAGACCCCUUGAAGACGACGAGGUAGAUAGGGCAGAGGUGGAAGUGUGGUAACACAUGGAGCUGACUGUUACUAAUCGGUCGAGGGCAUAACCAA